CAUGACAGUUGCGUAUUCGAAUGUUGUCGAAGCAUAGUAGUAUCCUGAGUAGCGCGGAGCACGAGGAAUUCUGCGUGAAUCUGCCGGGACCAUCCGGUAAGGCUAAAUACUCCCGAGAGACCGAUAGCGAACCAGUACCGUGAGGGAAAGGUGAAAAGCACUUCGAACAGAAGAGUGAAAUAGUUCCUGAAACCGUGCGCCUACAAGCGGUCGGAGCUCGUUAAUGAGUGACGGCGUGCCUUUUGCAUAAUGAACCUACGAGUUGCCUUUGCCGGCAAGGUUAAGUGUGACGACACACGUAUCCGAAGCGAAAGCGAGUCUGAAGAGGGCGUAUAGUCGGCAGUGGCAGACGCGAAACCAAGUGAUCUACCCUUGGCCAGGUUGAAGGCUGGGUAACACCAGCUGGAGGACCGCACCAAUAAGCGUUGAAAAGCUUCUGGAUGAGCUGAGGGUAGGGGUGAAAGGCUAAUCAAACUUGGAGAUAGCUCGUACUCCCCGAAAUGCAUUUAGGUGCAGCCUUGCGGGUUACUGAUGUGAGGUAGAGCGACUGAUAAGAUGCGAGGGCUUCACCGCCUAUCAAGUCUUGACAAACUCCGAAUGCGCAUCAGUUCUACCGCAGGAGUGAGGGCAUGGGUGCUAAGGUCCGUGCCCGAGAGGAGAAGAAUCCGGACCACCUGCUAAGGUCCCGAAAUGACAGCUAAGUUAAACUAACGAAGUCUGACUGCUAAGACAGCUAGGAUGUUGGCUUGGAAGCAGCCAUUCAUUUAAAGAGUGCGUAACAGCUCACUAGUCGAGGAGUCGGGCGUGGAUAAUAAUCGGGUAUCAAGUUGUCUACCGAAGCAGUGGGAUCAUUUAUAUGAUCGGUAGGGGAGCAUUCCAGUCAGCGUCGAAGGCGUACCGUGAGGUAUUCUGGAGCGUCUGGAAAAGCAAAUGUAGGUAUAAGUAACGAUAAAGGGGGCGGGAAACCCCCUCGCCGAAAGACUAAGGUUUCCUGAUCAACGCUAAUCGGAUCAGGGUCAGUCGGGUCCUAAGGCUCAGCCGAACGGCGAUGCCGAUGGCAGAAACGGUUAAUAUUCCGUUACUACCUUCAGGAGUGACGUGGAGACGCAGUAGUGACAGUGCCGCCAUCUGACGGAAUAGAUGGUUGAAGGGUGUAGGAGUCGAUCAUGGCAGGCAAAUCCACCAUGAGAUCCGAACCUGAUAGUAUGCCGCGUCCUUCGGGACAAGGCAAUAGUGCGCGUAAGCAUGCUGCCGAGAAAAUCCGCUAAACUUAAUCCUGUAGGUACCCGUACCGCAAACGGACACACGUAGUCGGGAUGAAUAUUCUAAGGCGCUUGAGUGAUUCACGGUUAAGGAACUAGGCAAACUGACCCUGUAACUUCGGGAUAAAGGGUCCCUACCCUUUUAUGGGAGGGCGCAGAGAAUCGGUCCAGGCAACUGUUUAACAAAAACACAGGGCUGUGCCAAAUCGAAAGAUCCAGUAUACAGCCUGACACCUGCCCGGUGCUGGAAGGUUAAGAGGAGAUGUCAUCGAUAAGAGAAGCGUUGAAUUGAAGCCCCAGUAAACGGCGGCCGUAACUAUAACGGUCCUAAGGUAGCGAAAUUCCUUGUCGGGUAAGUUCCGACCUGCACGAAUGGUGUAAUGAUCUGGACGCUGUCUCAACCGUGAGCU
RNAcentral lists this ribosomal RNA (1672 nucleotides) under human gut metagenome. RNAcentral's name for it is "bacterial LSU rRNA". It matches the Rfam family "Bacterial large subunit ribosomal RNA", at positions 363 to 2033 of the family's 2925-position model. The record is from RNAcentral.